GCGCACGCCCGCGCUCCGUCAGAGGCCGCGCCGGCGCGCCGACCGCGUGCCCGUGAGGGGGGCCGUGGGGAGCCCUGCGGCCCCGGCUGGGGUGUCCCCGACCGCAACCGGAGUAAGGGCUCCGGGGCUGGUACCUGCGACGGCACUUGUGACAGCUCCGUAAAUUUUGUCCGUGGGACCCGAGCCUUUACCGAGUCUGGGCUGGAUCCUCAUGGCUGCUGGAAGCUCUUCGCCUCUGGGUGGAAGCAAAGGAGAGCCUCGCAGACUCGAUCAACCCGUCUGUUGGGCGCCUUGCCCCUGGUUUCCUUCCCCUACUCCCUUCUUGAUUCUUAAUUUCAGCCAAAGAGAAAGUAAAGAAUCAGAAGAAAAGAUUGAGAAAAAAUAAUGAGGUCACGGAUAAACAGCACGCCAAAUCAAGGGCGUGAACUUGGAACUGACUUCCAGACAGGAUGUCAUUAUAAACUCAAAAAUCACAGCUCCCGAGUCCUCCCAUUCUGCUAGUAUUCUCAAGCUAAGAGGCUGGACUUUCACCCCGGGAUGAAGAGAGAAGCCUUAAAUAUUGUGUAAACAGGGAAAGAGAGGGAAUAAUGCAGUUCACUUUGCUGGGGCCUGGGGAGGACGGCGGGGUGGACACAGACCCUGAAUUCUGCCGAGCAAUGAAUGGAGAGCUUAUUGGAAAGUACUUCCAGAGCUUUCAAAAAGAUGCAGCAAAAUGUAAAAGUGUUUUGUAAAGUAUAAAGCAUUCUAUAAUGUAAUAUGUUGUUUCUA
Molecule: long non-coding RNA, 768 nt
Organism: Equus quagga
Lineage: Eukaryota; Metazoa; Chordata; Mammalia; Perissodactyla; Equidae
Exons: 2
Source: RefSeq, a predicted model, not a curated record